RNAcentral lists this long non-coding RNA (1527 nucleotides) under Equus asinus (donkey). RNAcentral's name for it is "lncRNA (ENSEASG00005035485.1)". The record is from RNAcentral. Lineage: Eukaryota; Metazoa; Chordata; Mammalia; Perissodactyla; Equidae.
CUGCCCAGCAGCCUCCUGGACCAAGGAGGGCUUCGUCUCCAGUGGCUGCUGGUGAGACAGAUGGAGGGUCCACUCCCAGGACCCGUCACUCUGUCAUUCCUGACUCCCUGGAUUAAACUUGGUGAUCUCAUGCUACCAACCAACUGACAAUGGGACAGACAACCACUCGCACCAUCCCCACGACCAAUUUUGCUGCUCACGUGCUGAUUGGCUCUUCCCAUUUUGUCUCUUGUUAUUUGAAAUCAAUGACUCAGUGCACUAGGUCAAGACUGAAGAAGUUCCCCUCGGAGGAACUACAACCACUUAUUCUUCAGCUUCAUAUUAUGAAGGCUGAGACUGAACCCUUGGUAUGGCUAGUUUUCCUACCUUAAUUCUCAUUUGUAGUUUCCCAGGCAGAGGCGAAUGAGGACAAAUCACGAUCUCAGCAUCAAAAUCCCCAUGCCUCUUGCUUUAAUUUCCAAGUCACAAAAAUCCAGGCACUUCUGGCUCCUCCCAGAAGGGCAGAGGAGGCGGGAGACCCACCUCCUCCUGGCAGCCCAGCCCGAGUGCACACUCCCCAGCACUUCACACCACUUAAAAGACUCUGCCCAAACUGCCAACAACGUGUUACAAACAGAGCGCUCCCCGAAAAUGGAUCAGAAACACUUUGUAAUGAGUGUAGGCGCUGCUUUCAAAAAGGCCAACAUCUAACAAAAUUCCUGGUCCUGAGUGAUCCACCCUCAAAUAGCCCAGCGCAGGCUGAGAAAACUUCCCCCAAAGCCUUCACAUUUGCAGAAGCAGCUCUCUAAGGCAAUCUACCCAAUGACAUAGAUGUCGGAAGAGCUGAACUGUAUUAACUGUUUACAUAUAUUACAUCCCUUCCCUGGAUACUCAGUUAUCUAAGGUCGCCAUAUUUUGGAAAGAAGCGCUAUCUAAGAUUUGGGAUGAUCUUCGGCCAACGAUUACUGGACAACUGGAUCCAAAUUCCACAAAUAACAGUGUUCCUUUACCUGUGUGGGUGUUGUCCCUAAUAGAACGCAGGUGCCAUGCAUUUUCUCUUUCAGGCCUUCCUUUCCACUAUUCCUUCAACUCCAGCAGAUGCCCUGGCUGCUCUACAUGCCCCCUCCAUUUGGGGCCACAGGCAGCACGGGGCCAGGCACAUAGGGACUCUUGGAAAGGGCUUGUGGAAGGGGUCCUCACUGCACGGAGAGGCUCUGUUUUGCACCCCCACUACCCCCAGGACAUAUCCUGGGUAGAUGCUCACUGUCCCAGACUGCAAACCCCAUUUCUUUAUCUGUCGAAACCAUUCAACUGGGAGUGCUGUGAGAGCUGUAACAAGUCCCAUUAAGCACAGCAUCUUCAAGCCCUGCACCAACCAGGCCAGCAAAAGCAGGUCUCAGUGAGAGUCUUCGGAAUGGGAAUCCUUGUGCUACCUCUGGCAGAGCCCCAGCCCAAGGAACAUAGGGGGCUGAGAAAAUCGAUGGUGCUAAUCGCGAGCUCUCCACUGGGGAUGCCAUCCUAAAGGAAAACUGUGUGUGAAAUACUCAG